Molecule: long non-coding RNA, 23191 nt
Filed under: Heterocephalus glaber (naked mole-rat)
Lineage: Eukaryota; Metazoa; Chordata; Mammalia; Rodentia; Bathyergidae
Description: lncRNA (ENSHGLG00000049947.1)
Source: RNAcentral
CAGAUUUCCGGACGUGCAGAAACAGACAGGAGGGAGGGCCGGUGGUCGCUGGCUCUCCCGAGCAGGAAAGGGGGAUCCAAAAACAAGCCCGUGGAGCAGCAGCCAGACCAACAGCAGCCGCAGGACAUUGUUUCUCUCCCUCUGUGCCCCCGUCCCCACGCAACCCCAGAUCCAUUUACACUUUACAGAGCAUCGUGCAACAAGUCACCAGGGUGGUCCAUUCGUGCUGCGGAUUUGCCUGCCGUCCUUGGACCCCAGUCGCCUGCUCCACUGUCGCUGCAGGGAAGAGCAGCACAUGUCAGUUCUCACCACGUGGGCGCAUGCAGGGGUACACUGCGGAGGUGCGGACCCUCACCUGAGGCUGCAGGACCACCGGUCCAGAAGCCCGGAUGCAUCCUGGAGCCUGGGGAAAGAGUCUGUUUUGAAUCCUCCAAAGUAACGCUGCUGCAGACCAUGAGCAAGACAGAGGGAAUGCCAGCCUGCGCGUGUGAUCUCGAAACAUGGAUGUUUUCGGUCUAGGCAUCUUACACUGAGCUUCUCUACUGCCUCCCUUUCUACUCAAGCAAAACCUGUGUGAAAAGGCCUACUGGGAAAGACCUGACUGCUGAUGGUUCUGCACUGGGAUGAAAGCACAUGGUACAGGUAAGCAUCUCCAAAGUCUUUAACCAGAAAGAAUUACCAUUUAGUUGUGAAGUUCCCCACAGCAGCAGUGGGGAUGUGCCGGUGGUAUCUCUUCGUGCACAAACAUAUACAUAAUGAAUAUAUAUCUACACAGUCACAUAUUCUUCCUCUAUGUAUUCUUCCUGUCUCUUUUCAGAGAAAUAGAAUUAUUGCUUUUUCAGUGUGAAAAAUCAUUUCUACUGAUUUUGAGAUUACUGAUAAGGUUAGAUGAUAAGGCAUUGGUAAGGGGGGCCGCUGAUUCUGGUCUGGCAUGUAGCUCAGUGUUUUGCCAAGCAUGCUUGAAAUUGGGUCAGUCCCCAGUACCAGUACUACAAAAAAGGGUAUGUGGAGGAUAAUUCCUAAGGUGAUAUUUAUAAAUUCAGCCAGAAAGAAGGUCAUCAGACGAUAGUAGGGAACAAUACAAUAUAUACUGUCAUCAGCCUUUGGUUCUUAACAGCCAACAUCUUUCCAUAGCAGCAUAUUUUCAUUUACAAUGUAAUUUUGGAUGAUUAUAUAGCAUACCAUUGAACAGAUUUGCUAAGAUUCAUUCAGUUGAUUGCCUCUACCUAGACAUUGAGUUGUCUGUAAGUUUUUUGCUUUUAUGCUACCAGAAAAGUUCUCGUAGCUCUAUAUUAGUUCCCAUUACUAAUGUCUUCCUUAGGAUAAAUGCUUAUCAGUAAACUGUUGAAUUGAUUUUAAGACUUUUAAGUUUCCAAUUUUAAGACUUUUGAUACUUGUUGCUAAAUUACUUUCCAAUAAAUCAUGAGUUUCUGUUUCCAGAGGAAAUGUUUGAGAGUAUCUAUGUCCACACAAUUUUCUAGUGCUGAGAAUUCAGGAAACAAAAAAAGGCUUUGCAGGGCCGGGGAUUUAGCUCAGUGGUUCUGCCCCCUGCCUUGCUGGCACAAGGACCCAAGUUCGAUCCCCGGUACCAAAAAAAAAAGGCUUUGCAAAUUGAUUAUGAGGAAUGGUGACUCUGUGUGUGUGUGUGUGUGUGUGAUGCACAUGCAUUCAAGAGAGAAUUUAUUUGUAAAUCAUGCUGGUUUGAAGAGCCUUCCUCUUGUAGAGAGUAGCAGGCUCGAAAUGCAGCAGAUUUUGACAUUUGAGAAGUAAUACUAAAUCAAAAAGGAGUGGAAGAUCCCUAGGAAAUUUCAAGUUCUUCGUUUUCUGCCAAAUAUUUUUAGACAAUUGUGAAAUCACUGGAUAGCAAUAAUUUUCUAGUGGAAAACUAAGUUUCUCUUUUAUUAAAAAGAAUAAAAAGAUAUAUUUCAAAAAGCCUUCAUAUAUGUUUAUCCGGAGCUGUACUACUCACUAGUUCAGUCUGUGUGUGUGUGUGUGUGUGUGUGUGUGUGUGUGUGUGUGUGCACGUGUGCAUGUACACCCAGUGUUGGGAUGUGAUUAAGUAUAACCAUGGCAGCCCUGCAGGACACAGGGCUGGGGAUCCACUGGGAAGACUGAGGGUCCAGAAGGCCUGGGCUCAGAUAGCAGCUCUGCUCUUCUCCGGAGGUGUGACAUUGGGCAAGUCUGCAGUUGUAAAAUUUAGAUAAAAAUAGUAUCCAUCUCAUGGGAUGUAGUUUCAAGUGAAUAAACAUGUAUUUAAAAAUCACCAAACAUCUUAUAUCAAGAGAAUGUUUAAUGAUAUAGCAAAAGGAUCAUAAUAGACGUAAACAAAUAUAAAGUAUGAUAUUGACCAUGGCAGAAUCCCAGCCUUGUAUGAUUAUUCUUCCCUUCCUCUUUUUUUUUUUUGGUCCUCCUCUGCUGUCUGAAAACAAGUUGAAUGUAUUUCUAAAUGACUUUGGUUUGCAUUCAGAGAGUAAUUCCAGUGUUGGAGAAACUGCCCAAUUGAAGUCUUCAAGUAAGAGACCCAUUUAACCCAGGGCUUUGAGGGGAAACCUGGGGUCAGCCCCUUGGGAGAGCAGAGCCACAUCCCAUCCCUCACACCCUGGUGGCACAGCUGAUGUCCUGGGCCAGGCCCGCCCAGGGCCUCUUGUGGACACCACAGGAAGAGUUCCUCACUGUCUGGCACCAUAUGUGAUUUGUCCUACUUGGCUCAGGUCUUUCUUCCAUUACUAACUAAGCUUCAUUUCACUAAAUAAAUGAAAGAAGGGUAGAUUAAGAGCCCCUCUGCCCCAGCUCUUUGGCAAUGCACGCUUUAUCCUGCAUAAACACAAAAGCAAAAACUGUGGCGUUCUGAGUUCCACCACUCUUUGGCUGCAUCUUAAGGUUGGAAAGUGGAAGGACAAUGGGCCAAAGAAUUGUUUGGCACUAAGAGACAAACACGAGGCCACUUGGAUAGCUUCGGCCACUGCCUUUCCCUGGUUUCCCUGCAACUAGCUUGUAUCUAUAGACAUUGCAUUCAUUUGGGUCCUAAAUUCCAGUCUAAUUUGAACAGCUCUGUAUUUCUCAGAUAAAAGGAACAUCUGAAUUCCUAAUUAAAACAUUUGAGCAUAAGAAUUCCUCUUUAAUGGGUCAUAAAUUAUUCUCCUUUAAGUGACUAUGAGGAUGAAUAAGAAAAUAAAAUUUGUAUUUGUACGCGUGUAUGUAUUAAUUCAGCAAAAUGAAUGAGGUCAUAGAAGGAGAGAGGACAACAAAUGUCUUGGCAAAUAUUGGCCAGGAAAAGAGUUCCUAAUGUUUUUCCAGACUCGGAUGAGGCACCUCAUGAAUGUAGGUAGAAGGGCCGUAUGUAGCCGAGUAAGAAUGGUAAUAAGACUACCAUAUGGAACAUUUGGUAUUUGGAUAGCACUUAGCUUCUGGCUAAGCUGCAGAAUCAAUAGAGACUCAAACAGAGAGGAAGAAACAAUUCUUUCGCUGUGGAUCGCUAGCUGGAAUGCAGAAAUUCAGACAACACUGAUUAUCAAGGGUUUACCAGGAUAAAUUUCUCCAGGAGGCAGGACAGUGGGUGAUUUAACCAUAUCUAGUAGUGUUCUGGCCUCAUGUGUGGUCCAGCAGAGUUUGGUUGUUUCCUUAAGCAUUGUUAUCCAAACCAUUUUUGCAGCCUGCAAGUCCAGGGCCAAACCAUUGCUGAAAACUUAUUCCACAGGGAGCCAUAGGAACUUUAGGGGACCCCAGGACGUGACCAAUAGAGAAUUAAAACCAAACUUUUGAGUCAUCAGCAAAGGUGACAGUGUCUUUAGAUUUAUCUCAUCCAGCCCUUUGUCACUCAUUUAUUCACUUGGGAUGUGCUUCAUUAGGAGCUGCUGUUGCUCUCUAGGGUGCAGGGCGUUGGAGAUUCCAAGGGAACAGGGUAGAUGUGGGGUCUGCACAGUCCUAAGAGAGAGGGAGCUCAGUGGGAUCGUUCUGCAGGGAGACUUGGAAGGGAUCUGAUGAGAGAAACUGGAGAAACCAGCAAAGACAUUGAUGUGGAAGACACGAAGUAGCGAGAACUCAAGAGCAGUCAGGGGAUGGGCAGUGAGGUUGUGAUUGUUUACAGCAGCACCAGGUCGGGAAACAAAGAAGCUAGGGAGAGAAGACCACUGUAAACUUUCCUGGAAUAUCUAAGUGCCAGGCCAGUAAAGGUAGUGCAGCUCUUGAUCUUUUAAUUUAGAUAGCCUAAUAAAUGCAUCAUGUUGACAGUACAUAUUAAGAAUAUGAGAAACGAAUCUUUUAUUUUCUAUGACUGUGUAUACAUGUUAGAGGAGUGGAUGUCAUCCUCUUCUGCCAUGGUCUGUGGUAAUAGCAUAUCUUCCUUCAUCCUCAACAGAUACGUACCAAGGGGGUUGCUUGAAAAAUGUAUAUAGUUCUGAACCUUAUGUAUACUAUGAUUUUUCCUAGACAUCACUAUCUGUGAUGAAAUUUCAUUUAUAAAUAGGCCCAGUAGAAGAUUAAUGGCAGUAAUAAAUACGGAACGAUUCUGUCAAUAUAAUGUAAGAAAAAUUUGCAAUUUGGGGCUGUUGUUAAGUAGCAUCCAGGUCACUUGAACACAAGCACUGCAGCACCACGCCAGUGGGUCUGAUAACCCGGGUGACUGCCGAGUGCCUAAUGGGGUCAGCAUAGUCAGUGUGGGUGCAUGGGACCAAGGGAUGAUUCUCUUUUUGGUGGAAAGGAAUGAGAUUUCAUCACGCUGCACAGAACUUAGAAGUUGUUUAUUUCUGGAAUUUUUAAACUUAGAAUCAUUUAAACAUUUAAAAGUUACGAAUUUAAAACUUAUGCAUUAUUUCUGGAAUUUUGUAUUUAAUAUUUUCAGGCUGCAGCUAACUGUGGGGAACUGAAACCAUGGUAAACAAAACUGCAGAACAGGAAGAAUUCCUCUACUUUCUUCCUUGAAUCGCCACACAAAUGAAGAAAUGGGGUGACUGCUUCGCCAGAAUGUACUUGCCUUACUCUUUUAUUAACUGUAUCUUUUCCUACUUUAUCCACUGUAAUUUACAUUACAGAGUGAGGUUAAAUAUAAAAUCAAUUCUACCAUUUGUACACAAGCAUAAUUAACUUUAGUUAACUCUAAAGACAGUCUGGGUUCCAGAUCAAAAUAGUGUCUGUCUCUCUCUAGUUGUUACAUCUUGGCCACUUUAGUAACAUUGUGUCUGUGACCUGGUUCUUCUCCCCUCUUCCCCUCCUUCCUGGGUGCUUGUAGUGAGUGGGCUUUUAAAUAGUAGGAUCCACACAGAGAUGUCUUUGCUCACCUUUGGAAUUAUACAUGGCUUUGGUAAAAGCGAUGGUUUUUCGCUUUAGUUUUGCUAUCAGUAAUGGGCCUUUUUCUCUCUUAUGUCACUCUGUCAGCUGCUGUAUUCUGGGGCUCAAACAUUUACCAUGAAAAAAACAAGCUUUUUUCUUUUCUUUGACAAGCCCAGUUUAGUCACGCAUCCUUUGAAUCAUGAGCAUUCUGGAACAUAGGGCCUUUUCCACUCAGGGAUUGGCAAAGUCCAUUUCUAUCGUUAAGAAAACCAUAUUGAUGUCCACUAAAUAUUUAAAACAGACCUCUCCCCCAAGUUCAACCUUCAACAUAAAUAUGUUGUUCACUUUUUCAUUGCAAGUCUUUCAGUCUGGAGACAGCAUCCAUAAUUCAUAGCCAGUUUGGGGAAAGGCAUUAUUUUAAGACACUUAAUGAUAUUUUUCAUGGCAAAAGGAAAAAAUGUAGGGUCAAAGAUUCAAGAGUACAUAGUGUUUCAUAUGUAGGCAUAGUUUUUCAAAAGUCUUUUGGAGUACAUUAGAGUUUCUAAAAUAAUUUACCAGCCUUCUCUAUGAAGCAUUUUAUUCUCAUCGAACUCAGGACCUUGUGCUUGCGAGGCAGGCGCCUGAAUCACUGAGCUAAAUCCCCAUCCCGAAACAUUUUAUUCUUUACAACUUCUAUAAGUAAUAUGGUUUAUAGUGUCAGGAUAGAAACAUACACAUAGUUGUAAUAACUUUCAUGAAGUACAGUAGAAUAUUUUAUUAUCUGAUGGAGUAAAACACGUUAGAAAAUGUUUAAUAUAAAAAUCUACCACUGGCCAGGGGUUUAGCUCAGUGGUUUUGCCGCCUGCUACGCAAGCGCAAGGACCAGAGUUCAAUCCCCGGUACCAAAAAACCAAACAAACAAACAAAAUAAGAGAUGCAUUGAGUCCACCAGAAAAAAAUCCACAUUCUUCCGAGUGUGGGCUAAGAAAAAACAAAAAAGAAAAAAAAAUCUACCAUUGAGGGCUGGGGAUUUAACGCAGUGGUUCUGAUGCCUGCCUCGCAAGCACAAGGUGCCAAGAUCGAUCCCCGGUACCAAAAAAAAAAAAUCUACCAUUGAGCCUUUCCACAUUGGGACCCUAAAGCAGAUAGAUGGCAGCUGGGAUUUCCUUCCCCAGUACAUGAAUGCAGAUUUCCACGCAGGCCAAAGGUACUGUUCAAAGUCUGAAUCCUGACUAGAGGUGGAGAUAAUCCUCCACUACAGCUUCAUCAAAAAGACACCCUGUGGUACUUUUCAAAUUAUUUUUCUCUUAGUGUUCAUCAAAUGAAAUGAAGCAUUUACAUACCUUUUCUAAGUUCUAGAAUAUAAAUUUUAUAACUGAUAAUAGAGUAAAAGGGGACAGAAAAAUGAUUCAGCCCCUUUUCCCCCUAACUCAAAACCCAACACCCCAUCGUUCGUUCAUUAUUAAAACAACUAUUAGAAGAUUUGGAAAUAAUACAUAGAAUGACUUGGGAGUAAUUUUUUUAAGCUAAGAAGAGACAGUUGGAGGCCAAGCAGCAUCGAAAAGGAUCAUUUCUUUAGAUUAAAUGAGAAGUACGUCACUGAUAUUUAGGUUUUCACUAAAUGUUUUAGUAAACUUGGGAAGGUAUCUUCUUUGCCUUGGGAGUUAUAUUUUGCCCCUCUGUUUUCUUCUCUAACAGAUUCUUUCUUCUCUGUCCUUCAUUUUUCUUUUCUUUAUAGUGGGGCAGUAAAUCACUGUUGGAAGUUAUGUACUUAGAGACCCUAGGGCCUUGAACCUAUGGCACGUGUGUGCCUUAGGAGGCACAUAGAGCCCUCUCUCUGAAGACAUCACAGAUUGUAUGGUUGUUUUCUUCUAAACUAAACCUCACUUUUCAGGUUUCACUGCGGUGUUGGCACUUUGUGAUACAUAAGUGGGUUUUGGACUGCAGCUUGGGCACUCGGUCUGUAAAAGGUUCACCAUCCCUGCCUUAGACUCUUGCCUAGCCUGGUCCGUAGUGUAUGCUACAUGAACACCAGCUGUGGCUAUAUCCACUGUGUCCUUUUGCUUCUGCUUGACAGUGGUUGUUUUGGUGGAGAUUCUGGUGAGUAUCUAAAACAAAUAAACAUAAACAAACAAGAACUCCAUGGCUGGUAUUGAGAGCUGUAGAAGUUGGGGCUGUGUUUGGCUAUAGUGGCAGAGAUUUGAUCAUCUGAGUGUGUCCGCAGAGGGACCCAAGUUCCAGGGCAGUGUCCGUGGACUUGAAAAUUAGGAGAGUUUUGAACAAGGUGCUCAGUGACCUGGCUUCAAGUUUCCCAUCUGGAACAUGAGUGGGUUGCUCUGUGAGGCCUCUUCUACUACUAAAAAUUGCCAUUUUCCGUCCUGGAUAUUUUAAGGCUUUGAAGUCUUGGUAGAAAAGAAUCUAUGAAAAGCCACAAUCCUUGUGUUCUCUCCGUGGAUUUCAGUACAUGUGCAUCUAGUCCUUAUUGGGCUCAUGGCCUCCUCCUUGAACUCAGGUGGGGCUCAUGACCUGCUCCUCCAGUGGUGAUGCUAAAACAAAUGAAACAAAACAAAACACUCCUCCCAGGCACAAAGGCAACCCCCUUCCAGAUGCCUAACCCCUUAAACAAGUCUUCAGAUGGUACAGAGGGAUCAUCACUCCGCCUGGCGCUGAGACACAGCCAUCUCUCUGGAGUGAAAUUUGGCAGCUGUGUGAUAGUCAAGCUGCAGUACUUAUAUGACAGUUUGGGGAAAAAGAGUGAGACAGAAAUAGCAGAUUUCAAAAUAAUCCAAUUAAAACAGCAGGGAAAGUGGAGUUGGGCAACAAGAAGGGAGAACGAUCUGCCCCGGAGUCUGACUCCCUCCACUGUUCAGGCAGCAUGGACUGUGUCACUACUGGAAAACGGUGAUCACUACCAAGACCUCCUGCACGUACCCUGACAGGGGCUCAUCUGGUGUCCAUGAAGCCAUCAUCUCAUGCUCUUCUCCAUCCCUCUUCUCCCAGUAGUCUAAUUAUCGGCCUGUGUUGGGACAUAAAUAGAUCUAUUGUUAAAAAGCCACCUUUCCUGCUUUGCCCUGCACAGGAUAGUAGCAUAGUGAAGUAUUUAUGAGAUCAGACUGCACCAAGCUCAGAGUAGUUAUGGUGAAAUGUCUUCGCAUUGGCUCUGCAUAGACAGAUUAGGGAGGAAAACCCUUCUGUUCUUUCAGGGGUCUUGGUAACAGCAGUGAUAAGGAAGGGAGAUUCUAGAAAUAUAUUUGGGACUCGGGGUGUGUUUCAGUGGUAGAGCACUUACCUAGCAGGGGCAAGGCCUUGGGUUUCGCCGCCAGCAUCAUCACACACACGCACACACACACACACACACACACACAACUAUAGACAACUACAGUUGAGUAAAAAUGAGAACUCUAUAUUUUCCAUAAGAGUGUAUCCAUUGUGCUAAAUAUUAGAAUUAGAACAUGGAAGUUGUAGUAGAUAAAGUUGGAAAGUACUGAGUGAAAGGUACAUCAACAAUAAAAAAAAAACAACAAAGAAGAUUUGUGAACAGGUUUAGAGAUGAUUGGAUCAGUAGAGCACAGGACAUCAGCACUCUCAAAGGGAGAUGCCAGGGCCUACAGGCACCAGAUGACAAAGCAACCUGGGCAUUGCAGUUAAACCAGAAAGGAGAACUUUAGAAGGAAAGUGAGGGACUAAAGGUUUAGUUUCAUUUGGCACAUAAAACCUUAGGCAAUGAGUAGAGUUCGUGUAGUCAAAACUGUUUUAAAAUGGAACCAAAAAUGAAUUCAAGGAAAAUUUAGUAAAAUUCAUGUAAGUAGAAAAAAAAGAUUUGGUAUGAGAAAUCCUGGUUUUGAGUUUUAGAUCCGUAAUUUAUUAGCUUUGUGACCUUAGGGAAGUCACUUAAAUAUCUGAGACUUUUUUUCUGAUUUAUAAAAUAGUGGUAACUCUAAUCAUCAAUCUCACAAAGAUAUUGAGAAAAUCAGAUGAGAUACUCCAAAAUGUUUAAUGCACUGUGGGUACAUAGCUCAAUAGUAAUGCAGUUGCCUAGUGAAGUAAGCCUGAGGCACUGGGUUCAAUGUCCAGGACUGCAAAAAAAAGUUUUGUGAACUAAAAAGGCUUGUAUAUGUGCUUUCUGUAAAUCUGCCAUGUUUUUAUAAUAUGGAACAAACUCUUAGGGACAAUGACCACAUAUGAGAAUGAAACAGAGGACCAUUCACCUAGAGGAAAAAUCUGUUGUGUAAUAAUGUUUAAAAACACAUGAAUUCUUUUUCUCUCCUUUUCCUUUUUCUGGCCCAGAAAUUCUUUUAUGUUUAUAGAAUUUUUUCUGAAGAUUUUCUGGCAAGCUCUGUAACAGAGUGUCCACUCUCUUUGAGCUAUAAAUGGCAUGAUUUUAUAGUAAAUAUUGUCUAGGAAUAAACCCUUUAAUAACAAACUUAAGAAAAAUAUGCCUUCUUAUUUCAUUGAAUAACCCUCAUGUAGGGAGCUUUGGGCAGAAAAGGGGGGGAUCUGGUGAGUGGACCCCGGAGCAAGAGCCAUGUGAGUAGGAUGCUGAACCAUAGAGACUCAGAGUUGGGGAGGCCCAGCCUGGAGUGCCUGCCUUUACCAAGUGUGGGUUGGGGCGCUGAAGUUCCCUUUAUGCAUCAGCCCAUCUGUCUCAUUAGCUUCAGUCUCUUAAUCACAGAUCCACCAAGUGUCUACUUGUCUUUUUUUAGCUUUUUAUCUUAAUCUCCUAUAAAAAUUAACCAAAGGAAAUCAGCCGGCUCCUAUGCUAUUUGUAUGAAUUCUCAUGCAUGCCAGGGGGCGGGACAAGCUAUAUUUACAAAAGGACACUCACGUGGAGAUGAAUCUGUGUGCACAUGAGCAUAUUUGUGGGUGCAUUCAUGCAUUUGUGUGCAUGUGUACGGAGGCCCACAGACAUGUGUGUGUGUUGUGUUCUCUAACAUGGAAAAGACACUUUGACAUGAAUUAGGAAGGGUGAUAUGAAAUAGUGAGAGUGAAAUCCCUUCCUUGCAUUUACUGUGGUAAUUAAAGUACAUGAUGUAACAUUGUGUGUGCAGGAGAGAGUUGGCUUAUUCAUCGUGUGGAACAAUAGCGGGAGUUAAAUAUUAACAGGUUGAAGUGUCAAUAAGUGUCUCAGUAUAAAUCCUCUAUUGUGUGGUGAACUUAUAAGAAGGCAGUGUAUUUUAGAUGUGUCUCUGCUUGCUUGGAAUUCAGAAUGCUUUGAAAAAUGUUGCCCAGUGUAAUUUGCGGUAGAAAAUGUUCUGCGAUUGUUUGUUUGUUGUUCCUGGGGACAUUUGCAGGGCUGAACUAUCAGACAUAGAAAAGAACAGCUUUGUUUGGAAAAUAACAGUAGGAGUAGUACAAGAAAAUUGAAUUAAGCAGAGAAACAGAAAGUCCAUUUUUGAUUGAUGGUACUUCCUAUUUGCUGUCCAUUAUUCCCUGUGAAGGAAUAAAAACUAUGAAAUCAGAUUUGAAAACUGGAUUAAGACAAAUAGCUUCUCAGAUUUUUUUUUAACCUUAGCUGUUUCCACUUUUCUUAAUAAAGCAAAUAGUCACUAUAUAAAGAGGCUGUACUUACUACAUUGAAUCUUCUUUAAAAAUAUGCCCUUGGGGUUUGAUUUCAGAAAUCAGUUUAUGAGAUGUAGGAAAUGGGUCUGUUGGCUAGCAUUUGUCUCUAAAUAUUUAGUUAAUUAAUUAGUUUCUUCUCUAGGUAUUUUAAUGGUCACUUGUUUUAGAGUCAGCCAUGGGGUAAAGAAGGAAUCUGAACCCUGUUUCAUCUCAUGAAAGUUUUUUUUAUACUUGCCACCCUCCUGUUUUUCUCCAAAUAGCGUCUGUUCCCCUUUGGGCCAUUGCUGUGCUCUCCAAAUACUUUAGCAAAGACUUGUGGACACACAUGUCUCUCUGAACUCGGUUCCGAACCACUUGAAAGAAGCAAUUGUUUGUUUGUUGGUGUAACUCUAGCACCCCAAGCGAGACCCUAAGUACUGUAUAAUGUUGAAUAGAUAAAUGAAUGGGUGAAGCUAGCACCUGCUAUGUGUUUGUCAUCAUGUUAGACAUGAGGGACAAUUGUAAAAAGUAUGUGACAUUAUCCUGUCUGCUCCCAAAUGCUAUAAAAUCUAGUUGAGGCCUAGAACAGCUUGGGUAAUGGAAAAAAAUACUGGAUUGUCCCCCAAAGAAUAAAAUAAAGACCCAUAAGUCCAUACUACUACUAUAAAUACUACUAUAAAUAAGAACUACUAUACUACUAUAAAUAAAAACUGAGUAAAUGAAUAAGUGGGAGAAAGAGGAAAAUCUUCCAAUUAAUGGGAAAGGAAUGAGGGAGUAGAAAAGCAUCAGAAUCCAUAGUAAUGGUUGCCAGACGGAAGUUCUGCUGGUGGACGAAUUAGAUGUACAGAAGUGAAUUAAAUGGAUGAGAAUCAAGGGCAAAAGUUUAAGCUGAAGCAAGGUUUUUGUAAGUUUCAAGGCAUCUGCCCCCAAAACCUGUAGUAACUACGAAGAGAAACAUAUGGCAUUAUGGUGGAGAAUCCACUCAGAUACUGCCUUCCCGGAGUGGUCUCAGUAAAGUUAACCUCCCCAGGGAGGCACACAGGUAGUGUAUGAGCCCUUAACAUGAUGCUCUGGAAUGGGCUGAUUGUCACACAGCAUCUAAGGAGAAUCAAGAGAAAAUAUCAGGCAGACCCACCUGGAAGAGCAUUUUAGAAAAUAACUGAUCACUCUUCUUCAAAAGUGUGUAUCUACCAAUUCUCCACAGUGAAUGUAUUUAUUAUGUAUCACAAACAUAUACUAAUAAAAUGAAAGGGGAGGAAAAAGUAUCAGAGUCUUUAAGGAUAAAGAAGGACAAAAGAGCUGCCACCAACUGGUGGGGACAGAAAAAUAAGACUCCUGAUGCAGAAAUAACUGUUUAGAAGAACUGGUGAAAUCCUAAUCAAUUUCAUAGUUUAGUUACUAGUCUUGACAGGUUAGUUUUCUAGUUUUCAUCAUGUUCUAUGGUGAUGUCAGAUGUAAGGUGAGGCUAGAGGAAAGGUAGAAGUGAGUUUUACUAAUUUUGCAACUCUGGGACAGUCUAAGUUUUCUUUAAAGAAACAUAGUGGAAGGCCCAGUCCCAAUUCACGAGAACUAUUAUAGAGCAAUGCGUGACAGUCUGCGACUGAGAGAUUGGGUUGGGCCAGGUGGGGCUCCAGUGGGUGAAGAGAGGGGUGAAAGGCGGCAGGGGACGGGAGCGGUCAGUUAGCUACAAGAAGCAAAAGCUGAUGUAGAUCUGGAAUGGAAGAGCAGCAUCAGCAGAUGGAGCAAACUGAGUGGUCAUUCCAGGUUCAGUGACAGCAGUGAUAAAGAAUGGGGAAGGGGGACAGAUGGCCUUUGAGGGGUAUACCGGAGAUGCCAGCUGAGUCAUGUGCUGUUUUACUGGAGGUCAGUAAAAUAGAAAGUUGGGCUGCUCGGGGAAGCAGAGCUAGAGGUUCCUUAGGACCUGGCAGAGGGGUUGGAAGCUGGUGGAGCCCAUGAGACAGUGCCACAGACCCUUAUUUAGGCAAGUGACUCUGUGAGAUGGUCCACAUAGAUGCUCCUUGACUGACAGUGGAGUUGCAUCCUGAUAAAGCCACAAUGAAUUUGAAAACACCAAAAGUUAAAACUGUAUUUGAUACACCUAACCCACAGAACAUCCUAGCUUAGCAACAGAACACAGGGUAGAAUGUGGUCUUUCCUCUUGUGAUCGCAGGGCUCAUGGGGAGUUAGUGAUAGCUAAGGAGAUUUGGGGAGGGAGGCAAGGAAGGAAGAGGAGGUCACAUAUUCUAGGACGUUUGAAGCAGUAGAGUCAUUGAACUUAGUGACUAAUGGAUUUGGAGGGUGAAAAGGGAGGAGUCAAAGAUGAUUCCUGGGUCAUGCCUACAGACAGGUGAUGUUGGUUUAGGAAUUGGAAUAAUUUGCUCAGUAGCUAUUUGAAUGAUACUUUGAAGAAUACUAUAUUGUAGGUGAUGAUAGAGGGUUAAAAAGUGUGAAGACACAGUGUCUGUUUAUAUGUGGGUUUGUACACUGAAACAUGGAUCAGAAAGCCCAUGGCUAGCGCUGGACUGAAUGGAUGGAUGCGGGGCCAGGUGAGGGUCCCCUGAGGGGUCUCUGCCCUUCAGAUGAGAAGGAAGGCAUUGGUCUACUCCAUUCCGUUCCCAUCAGCAGCCACGGACACUGUAGGGAUAUCUUUAACAGUCACACUUCUUUCCCCUGGAUAAAGAUGGCAAACCUACUCUUGGACUUCUCUUAUACACAUAAAACACAAACACAAACAAAAAUAAAACACAAACAAAAAUCAUCAUUCUACUUAGGGAAAGCCCACACACACAUAGCCCCUCGACCUAAGAUAUCAGUCUGGAGGUCCCAAAGGUACCAAACAUGAAAGUGGAAGAUACCAAAAAGAGAACUUUGUAGAAGUAGAAAAGGUGCAUGCAUGCUUAAGUUGCAAGCUCCUCUUCUGUAAGAACCAUGUCUUUUCAAUGUAUAUAGUGUUUUCCAUUAAGGCUCUUCUGGGUAGGUCUUUCUGCUGUUCUCUUGGAUUUGUCCCCCACUCUGUGUUAUUUAAGAAACGCUUUAUCUAGCUUUUAUUCCCUUGUUUGUAUCAGUUACUUUAUAACUCUCCACCCAUAGCUUAAGGGUAACAAUGUAUUUUUUAAAAAUCUCCACAACAAGCGUCAGAAAUUUUAGCCUGUUAGGCCAUCCAGUUGGACUUAGUCUUGGGGACAAAUGGCUUUGCAGCCUGGGUAGCAUGAGGGCAGUGGGUGUAUUUACCUUGUGAGUACACAUUUGAUUACAUGGCAGUAAUUGGAAUUCUGUUUUGAAGGUCGUUGAAAAAAGGUCUCCAUUUCUCCCUUAGGCAACAUUAUAAGAUUGUUUCUUGACAAUUGAGUUCAUAUGCUUUCUUUGCUAUCAGUCAAUUAUUGAGCUAAAUCAACAUUUUAUUGACAAUGGGCUACUGAAAAGAAAGUUAACCCCAUUUCAUAGUUAAUUGUAAAUGGAAGUUAUUUGAUACUCUUAAAAAUAUGAAAUUGUAGAAGUUCUGAGUCUGCUCAGAAAUUGAACAUUGACCAUAGUCUUUGCAACCUGUAAACUUAAAGUUCAGAGACCUUUUUAAUAAUGGGAAUUUUCCAUGAACAAUGAAUGGGCUAUGGUGCAUUUAAAACAUGGCUUAAAUGGCAUUAUGUGAUACAAUAUGAAUUGAUGUUUUGUGCAGGAUAUAAAAAGGAGACACAUCUUUUGUGGGGUGGACAUUGGCAAUGGCAGAGAACCUUGUGAAGUGGCCUCUAAGGCCUCCCUUGUAGGCUUCCUGUGGAAGCACCUAUGUUGAAACUGGCAGGAUAAAGAAUCCUUUAUGUUCUUUUUAACUAAAUGUAUUGACUUCAGUAUUUUUUCAUAGUGAACGUAUUUCAAAAUUGUAACGGUACUCAAUGGCUCUGUAUAAAAGUUCUGUAAAAAAAAUGCAUUGUCUAAGGGCUCUUUCCACAGUGCCGUGUGCUUCUGUUUCCCUCCUGUCUCCAAGUGCCUGAUGAGGAUAGAGCACUCACUACACAGUCAGCACCACACCAUGUUUCAGGCUGUCUCUUUGGCAGCAGAAGUGGAAGUUGUGUGCUGAACUCAGGAAAGCAUUGUGACCUCAUUGUCACAGACAGUGCGAGGUAAAGGCUGGCAGGGUCCUUACCGAGCAGCCCUCUGUGGAGCUCCCUAGGACUGCGAAACCUCCAGGCCAUCGUUUGUCAGAGUCUUGGUAUUGGGCAUCCAACAGAGAUUGUUGCUCGUUCUCCUAGGGUGAGAGAACACAAUCAUUUUACCAAGCAGACUCUUCUAGAGGUGCAACAAUAUCAUGAGGGUGGAAGAAAUCAGAGUGGAGGGAGCAAGGACUUAAAGCUAAGGUUUAGAAUUAGACUAAAUCCAUUUCCAAUUAUAGCUGAAUUCAGAGUUCUCAUUGUUCCAUGUAGCAAGCAGCUAAACUCCAGCAUAAGGAGGAUGUUUACAAAGCAAGGCAUAGGAAAUGUUUACUUCUUUCCCUCUUUCAUGCUUAUCUUUCCUUUUAUGUCUCUGUUCUUCUCCCCUGUUAAAAAGAAGUUGAAGAAAUGGUGACUAGAUGAAUGGAUUAAGCUAGCAAGCUACUUUCCUCAAAGUUCAAGCAGUGUCACUUUUAUGGAUUUAGUCAUAAAAAUAAUCUAAUACUUCCUUUCUUGUCCAUAUUUUCGUCAUAGCUAGCUGGAAAUAAUAGGAAAAGAAACCUUCCCAGGAAGGAGAAAAAUGACCAAAAAAUCCUGUAUUUUACUCCAGAGGUGCAGUCCUGAAAUACUCAGAUCCCUAGUGACUUAGAGGGACACUCAAAGGAAGGUUAAUGAUUUAACAAGUUUCACUUUCCAGCUUCCCAAGUAGAUUGAAAAGUAUAAGAGGGCUUUCUAGGGUUAAAUAUACCAACCACCAUGAAGGAAGGAGAAAGCCUAUGAAAACUAGAAGCAUUAUAAAAUCUCAGCAGUGUAGGGCCAUUUAAUUUGAAGACAGUUCAGAGCAGAUGAGAGUAAGGAUCAUACCCUCUGCUGCCAUAAAGAGGAGAUGGUGGAGAGGGCAAGACUGUUGCAGGAACAACCCAACUGGUGGGGAUACAGUGGAAUGGGAGCUUCCUUUUUGAGCAUAUUAUCGUGCCUGGGGAUAUCCUACAGCCAGGGAAGGGUGCACGAAUAGGGAGAUGAUUUCUAGACCCAAGGGCCUUUCCUCUCAUGGCUCAGCCAUUCCCAGGGAUACUGGGAGACAUGAGGAUCUUCUGCAUCUGGCUAGCAAUUGGGAGGAGAGAGCAGCUGGUCUCAUUGGAGGUUCACUAAGGGAAUAGACAGGACUUAGUCACAUGGAAGUGGGUGAACUGCAGAUAGAGCUGGGAAAUGCCAGCCUGGAUACCAAGGAGGACAAAGAAACCAGUUGGUUGGACAACUCACCAGCGUCUGCCACAUCUGGAUGCUCCCUUGGCCUGGCGCUGAUAUUUCACUUGGUGCUGGCUGUGAAUACCUUGUUCACUGGAAGAUGUUCCCUCUGGCCAGGAACAUCAUUAAGCCCACUGAGUUGAUGUACAAGGACUCAAACUAUCUGGAUCUAAACUUCUAUCCCUGAUGUUUUCUUCAGGGGAGGAACAGUGAGCCAUCAUGGUUGACUCUGCAUGAAAAAUAAAUCAAAUACUACCACUAGAAGAUGGCACUGACACCAUGCUGGGCUUAGGACAGAAACCCUGCCUUUUAUCUAUGGCUGCUUCUUCUGGCUGCUCUUCCUAGGACUUGAGUCCUGUUUCUCUUCACUAUUACUAAAUUCCAAAGGAAUAUUCUGACAUUACCCAACUCCUUAUUAUUUUUGUUUGAUUUUUGAGUUUUGAUUUUUUGAGACAGAGUUUUGCUGUGCAGUCUAGGCUGGCUUUGAACUCACUGUGUAGCCCAGGCUGGCCUCCCAACUCCUGGUGAUCUUUCUGCCUCAGCCUUCCAAGUGGCCUUCCAGGCCACCAUGCCUGGCUCCAGUCCUCAUUAUUUGUGACAUCUCAGCAUUUGCAUUUUAUACUUAGGUCUUGUUUAUAUCCCAGUCAGUCUCUCAAGGUUGUACCUACUACUGUCAAACUCUGAAACAAGUCUUUACUGAACUCUUUGCUAGCCUUCAAUCAAGUUUGGGCCCAGGAAGCAGGGCUUGAGAGAGGGAUUGAGAGUUAACUAUAUAAAUUAUUUUGUGCUCUGUUAUGGGGUAGGAUAAAACAUUUAGGCAGUGGGAGAAGCAUGUAAAGAGAGGCAGCAGAUGCCAGAAAAACCUUCGGAGGUUCUCAGGGGACAAAAAAUAAACCUUCUCACCGAACUACUCCUGAUUUCUUCAGUGGCUGUUUCCUGCUGAACAUAGGAACAACUUGAGUGAGAGCUGUUAGACCUAUAGUUUGUCUACAUCAUGGGCCUAAUAGUUUUUGUUUGCCUUCCUGCAAAGCUAAGCACUAUUUAACUAUUAACAUGAUCUCUCUGAGAACAUUAGCAUGAAGUUCCAGAUAACUGAUUUACAAAUGAACUUUUCUGUGCGCAACCCAUUCAUAAAUUGGGGACAGCCUGUCCCGGACAUGCAAGCCAGAGAUAGCAUUUAUCUGUACUUUAUCUGUACGGGCUUGUCAAGUUGACUUAUAUGCACUUUUCUCUGCCCUCAGUUUGAUGAUAGCCUUGCUCUUAAAUUUUAAUACUCUCUUUCUGUUUGGAGAAACAUUCCCUUUGGAGAUGCUUCAAAUAUUCUCAUGAAUUGGAAUACUGAUUUUACCUCCUAAUUUAUCUUUAGUAAGAUUCAUGGCUAUGAACAUCUUUUGCACAGGCAAAAGAAAAACUGUAGAGAAGCUGAGAACUAUUUAAAGGAACUGAGGAGGAAAAGAAUCCUUUGCUAGUGUUGUUGUCAGAUAUCUUGCAAUAUAAUUACUGUGUUGGUUUUUAAAGGUUAAAGAACUCUGAGGUUUAGAAUUCUUUGUGUGUGUGUGUGUGUGUGUGUGUAUGCGUGUGGGUUCCACACUUAGAAGAGGGAAAGAAAUCCUACACAUUGAGGUAAAAGAGCUUGUUAACAUAAAAUUUCUGAGCACUUUAUAGUUUGUCGAGAAUAAUUCAUGGAUUUCAUAUUUGCUUUUACACAUAUCUGAUGAGUCAGUUGUUUGCCCCAUGGAGCCAAUUUGCAGACUGCAAACCCUGCUUAUUCCUAAUCUGCGUGCACGUGGAGAAAUACUCCUCUCGCCUGCAUCAGAUUGUGAAGUAAAAAGGUGAAGCUGAGUCCUGGAGAUGUUCCUGCUCGGAGAACUUAGUCUAAUGUACGAGUGAAAAUUUCCCUGUUGUUAGCAGAGCAGCUGACAGACUAUGAUCACAAAUGUUGCUGAUGCUGUUCUGUUAGGAGGUAGAAAUAGAACGGCGAGGACGCUAUGAGCUUGUCAGAGUGGGGCUGUCAGAGUGAUAUGCUUCCAUAUUAAAAAGCAGGCUUUGUCCCCCCCCACACACACACUCACUCUGUAAUGGUAAGAAACAUUUGUUUCAGCUGCUAUUCUGACUUGCAGUUACGCAUUCAGACUUCAAUGCUGGAGUAGUUAAAAUCUAGUGAAUAGCAGUCAUGUUCAGUGGUCUUUCCCUUCUGUUUAAAACAGUACCGCAGCUUGUGCAAGAAACAUUUUUAUGUAUUGUGUUGUAUCUUUUGAUGGUUUUUCUUUAGUGUCAGAACUAUCAGAAUGAUUUCAGUGUCAUGGUGUCUGUGCCAUUUCUAGUCAGCAAUUAUUUUUCCCCAGAUGGUCUUCGUAGGUUCCAGAUCACCUUUAAGUUUAGUGUUCAUUUGUUGACAAACGUGUUUGGAAGGGUUUUACAGAAAUUGAACCAUAAAACUGUGGUUGAAUACAAAGAAACCUUCAUACAUACAAGAAAGAAGCACUUUAUGAACUAUAGUGUAUUCUUUUUUAAAGUAAGGCAUUAUAAUGAAAUACUCUUAGGUUGUUACUGAGCAUUGAAUGCCAAAACAUAAAAGACAACUUUUAUUUUCCCAUAACAACACUAUUUAUAAUGUUACCCAAGUUACUAGAAGUUACUCUGAUGCUGUAAGGGUGUGUUUGGGGAAUCUAGCAUUAAAAAAUACCAAUGAAGGGGCCGGAGAUUUAGCUCAGUGGUUCUGCCGCCUGCCUCGCAAGCUCAAGGUCCUGAGCUUGAUCUCUGGUACCAAAAAAAAAAUGGAAACCAUUAGUUAAGGGGAACUCUGAAGUCACCUUUAAAAGGCCCUAUGAAAAACAUGCUCCUGUCUGGAAUAUUUUAACCCCACCCAGACACAAACAGAAUAGGACACUGAAUAACUUAUAUGGCAACAUUAAAUGUUGAGAGACAAAUAUAAAGUGUUAAGUUUAAUAGAUUCAUAUUUUAUGACCAAGUCAAGUUUAUAAAUGUCAAGGGUAUUUUUUCACGUAGAGAUACACGAGAGCUUUCUUCUUAUGGUUCAGCUUAAAUCUUACAGACCCACGCUUAAUUUCCAAUGCCCUGGUAACUUUUUGUCUUGUUUUAUAGCUGCUCCCUGUCCAGACCCAUGCUGUUCUGGGUUCCAGUAGUGCUUGGAUUCAUUUGUAGAUCACACUUACCCAAUGGAGUUCCCACCUCUCUGUAGAAAUUGGGCCCAGUGGUUACUUUUCAGUGCCGAAUGUGCUAGGCCUCUGUAGAAACUUCUGGGGUUUUUCUUUUGGUAUUGUUUUUGGUACUGGGGAUCGAACUUGGGUCCUUGCGCUUGUGCAGCAGGCGGCAAAACCACUGAGCUAAAUCCUCAGCCCAGAAGCUUCUGUUUUACAGCUGACACUCCACUGACCUGAGGAACCUGAUAUAAAACAUGAGGCUCCAUCAUUUGUUUUACGUCUUCAAUGCUGCACAUUUUAUGAAGAGGCUUUAACAUUUAAAGAGGCUUUAUUAACCCUGUGCAUUAAAAUGCUUUACCUGGAAAUUCUUGGAGAAAUGUUUUCAUAUUUAAUUCUUGGAAUGUUCAGAUAGCAAAGGCAGUUUUUAUUUUGUUUGUUUCAGUCUUGCUUUUUGUGGUCAAAAGCUAACAUUACUUAGAGACAUUUAAGUUCAUGUGGAAAUUAUUAUUAUAAUUAUUACUGUUGCAAUUAUGAUUAUUUUUGCAAAUGAAUUGGCAUGCUGAUUUCUUAAUGUCAGUGUUCCUUUAAAAGCACUGUUGGUUUUUAUGAGGAAGGUUGAUUUCCUGGAACUGAAAAUAUGAUGUUAGAGGUUGCUUUCCAAGCAGUUAUUGGCAUGUUUAUCAGAUAAAUCAAACAUGCAGUGGAGCAUGGAGAAUGAUUUUUCAAUACCUUCUCCUUGUGAUUUGUUCCCUAAAGACAAUAACAGUGCUUGUUAGGUGGAGUCCUUGGAAGAAACACGGCUUACACGCAGGGGCCCUGCCCUCAUGGUACGUGCAAGCAAAAAGCCAAUGCCCAGAGCCACCCCCCUCGAUAGUGCUUCUAAAUUUUAAAUUGGGCAUGAAAGACUUAUCUACCUUAAAGUGUUUGGCUGUGAAGAUCAAGUAGAGAUUGAUUUUUAACCACAGGGCUCAUAUUGCAGAAAAAGAAUGUAGUAUCUAAGAAGACAAGAGACCUCCCUAGAUUUAGCGAGAAUUUCUGCAGAGCCUGAGGCCGAGGUGCUGCAUCUUCUGAUACUCAUGAGUAAGGAGCUGCCAGAGUCCUACAUUUCAUCCAGUCCACUCCUAAGACCCCUCAGCCAGGGAAGAGGAAUGUUCUGUAGUUGGGAGCUGGGCGGGCCUUUUUAAAAAGGUACAGUGCAGUGCUUUUUAGUGUACUCACAAAGUUGUCUAACCCUAACCAGAAAACAUUUUAGAACCUUUUCAUCUCCCCAAAGGAAAUCCUGUACCCAUUAGCAGUCCCUUCUCAUUUUCUCCCAGUCUUCUAUGUUCGGCUUGGCAACCACAAAUCUGCUUUCUCUCUAUAUAGCUUUGCUUAUUCUAGACAUUUUGUAUAAAUGGCAUCAUGCAAUAUGUGGGCUUUUGUGACUGCCUUCUCACUUAGCAUAAUGUUUUCAAGGUUCACUCCUCUUGGAACAUGUAUCAAUAAUUCAUUCCUCAUUAGGAUCCAUUGUGUGACUACACCCUGGAGUCUAUCUGUUCGUCAGUUGAUGGGCAUUUGGGUUGCCUCCACUUUUUGACUAUUAUGCCAGUAACGUGUCUCUACAAAAACUUGUUACUUCCUUUCUCUGUGUAGCCUACUUUUAAGCAGUAAUACAUUAUGAUAGUAAACGGAGUUUUAUUUGCUUCACAACUGUUUCUUCUUUCUCCUUACCUUUCUCAUGCUCCCCGAAAUAGUUGUCAUUGAAAAUGUGGAGAAGAGUGAUCAUCUAGCUUUUUCUAAAGCACCAGACACUCUCCUAAGCAUCCUGCAUGUGUUAUAACAUUUCAGACAGCCCAGACUUUUCAGAUGCGGUGGCUGAGGGUUAGGAGGGCAAUAUGGAGCCUGCAGUCAUUCAGCUGGGAAGAUGGGGGAACUGGACCCACUUCACUUUUACUCAGCAAGGCCUCCUUUGUAGUAAUGCACCUCAGGCCGUGCAUCUGUUUCUUCCUCACAGAGUCCCUUUUCUUCUUGUGAGAUCCCUCUCCUUGAUUUGAUUGAGAAAAGUAAGGAACAGUUCAAUCCCUGGUAUCAAAAAAAAAAGAGAGAGAGAGAAAAGUAAGGAACAAGAUUCAGAGAUUCUGUCUUGUGCCCUUGGACUUCGACCUCCGUGUUGAAACGCCAUUGGGAACAAUAUUUUCCUCCACUUGAGUGAGGUGGUAUCAUGGAAUCCUGGCGCUGCCUGGUUCUCAGUUUAACCUGACUGCUCUCUACUCAGUCUCCACCUCAGCCCCCCGCAGAUACUGCCUCUCCUACAACCCGUGUGCAGGCUUGAACCAACUUCCCGUGGACCUUGCAAAAUCUUACUGUCUCAAAAUCUGCAGUUUCACCCUUUGAUCACUGCAUUUAAGAACAAGUUUCCUUUUCAGUAAUUAUUAUUUUUACUGUACCCAGAUAUAUGGGGUAGAGUGUGACAGCUCGAUACGUGUAUGAAGUAUGUAAGGAUUACAUCAAGGGAGUUAACCUUUCUAUCUCCUUCAAUAUUUCUUAAAGGUUUCAGGAACAUGUAAUAAUUGUCCAUGUUUAUGGGGUGCAGUGUGAUGUGUCCAUAUGUGUAGAUAAUCUGUCAGAGACAGUUGGGGUAAUCAGUGGUACCAGCUCCUUAUAGUAAUUUUGUUUACAACCCUCAUGCUCCUCUCUUCUAGGACUCAUAACAUAUAAAGCAGGCAGUUCCUUCCCUUCCUUGGAACCUAGUUGUCACCCUCCCCAUGAGCCCUCUCCUGUCCUUGGCUCCUCUGUCACUGUCAGCCUCUUUCGAACUCCGUUUCCUGGUCAGCCCUGAUGCCCUGGGUAUUGACAUCACUGUUUUCCUGGUAGUUUAGUGUCAUGGAGUCCUUUCCAGACACCAGCCCUGGGGGAUCCCCAUCCCCUGCCCAGGGGCUCAGAGGCCACAGACCCACUCCACCAGUCCUAAUAUGAAUUCCUGCUAUUGAGUCUGUGAUGGGUCUUCAUUGCUUCCCAACAUCCCUCUUCGUUCCUCUCUGCUGGUCACAUUUCUCAUGGGAUCUGGUCCAAACUUUUCCAAUGUCUUCAAAACUUGCUUUCCCUCCCACUUUCUGUAGAGGAACAUCAUUUCUUUUGCCUUUGAAAAUCCUGAGGGAACUCAUGUGUAUGAAGUGCAAUCAAAACAUGCAGUGACUGUUUACAAUGAAAAGAUAUUACAGUAAAAGACACAUUGCAGUGAAUCUCCCUCACUUUGAACACACUUAUCCCAUGAUUCUUGCCACUUUCUGAGUCAGUUCUUGGAGUCCUCUUUCCUGAAUGUGCUUAUGAAGUGUGAUCAAAAAAACUGAGUGAAAGUUACUGUCCAAGUGACAUCCAACAGAAAGGCAGACUUGUAAAGACAUUGUGGUGUUACCCCAGGUGUUACUCCAUGUGUUACUCACCUUAUUCACAAGAACUGGUACCAUACAACUGCUGGCUCUUCCCCAAAGUCAAAAUGACCAUGAAAGGUCAAUGUUUUGAAUCAGUUCAGGACAUCAAGGCAACCAGUACAGUGCAACUAAAGACACGAAAAAUGACUACCAGAACCGUUUCAGAGUGGAAAGAAUGAUGGAAAAUGUGUUCAAAACAAGGGGGAGCAUUUUGAAGGGGUUAAUGGCAAUAUGUCUUUUACUGUAAUUAUUUCUUUAAAAAUUUUGAAACAUUCACCCUAUUUUUCAGUCAUAUCUCAUAAAUCCUUUAACUCUCUUCUUGUUAAUUCCAUCCAUUACUCUGCCCUCAUGAUGUUAGAUGUACACAUUUGUCCCCUGCCAGGCUCACUGACCUUGGAGGGGAAGGAAGACCACCCCCUCCCGUAGACUGACUCACCCCCUG